GACAGAGGGUGCAAACGUUGUUCGGAAUUACUGGGCGUAAAGCGCGUGUAGGCGGCCCUGCAAGUCGGAUGUGAAAUCCCACGGCUCAACCGUGGAAGUGCAUUCGAAACUGCAGGGCUAGAGUCCUGGAGAGGAAGGUGGAAUGCUUGGUGUAGAGGUGAAAUUCGUAGAUAUCAAGCGGAACACCGGUGGCGAAGGCGGCCUUCUGAACAGUGACUGACGCUGAGACGCGAAAGCGUGGGGAGCAAACAGG
RNAcentral lists this ribosomal RNA (253 nucleotides) under uncultured bacterium. Its description in RNAcentral is "partial 16S ribosomal RNA". It matches the Rfam family "Bacterial small subunit ribosomal RNA", at positions 524 to 776 of the family's 1533-position model. The record is from RNAcentral.